GCUAGAGGAAGGGGCUGUGUCUUCGCAGUACCCUUAUUCUUGAAGGAGUGCUCAACGAGAUUGCCUCCAGUCAUCUUCUCCGACGUCCUCCUCUCCUUUCCCUACUAGAUCUUCACCUGAUGCCUCCCCGAAAGGCAUCUACUGGGUGAUCCACGGCCUCCGCGGUUAGAUCUCAGGCUCCGGCCUCGUCUCCAGCUUCCUAGGCUCUCCCUCCUCCGGCAACGGCGGUCGACGGAUUCAAUCAAUGCCAACCUGAAAGUAGGGAAGAUCGGCCAAAGGCCCUGCUGCAACCGAAGCCACGAAGGAGGGAAAAACUUUGUGAAGAUCAGCCUCUGACUAAGAUCUUCAACACCCUUUCUGGGGGGCCCCCGAGAGGAGCGGCCGAUAGAUCGACCGGGCCGCUCAAGCGGCAA
Molecule: long non-coding RNA, 413 nt
Filed under: Elaeis guineensis (African oil palm)
Lineage: Eukaryota; Viridiplantae; Streptophyta; Magnoliopsida; Arecales; Arecaceae
Description: long non-coding RNA (EGUI_LNC029787)
Source: RNAcentral